GAUGAAGAACGCAGCGGAAUGCGAUAAGUAAUGUGAAUUGCAGAAUUCAGUGAAUCAUCGAAUCUUUGAACGCACAUUGCGCCCGCCAGUAUUCUGGCGGGCAUGCCUGUUCGAGCGUCAUUUCAACCAUCAAGCCCCCGGCUUGUGUUGGGGACCUGCGGCUGCCGCAGGCCCUGAAAUGCAGUGGCGGGCUCGCUGUCACUCCGAGCGUAGUAGUUACAUCUCGCUCUGGGCGUGCUGCGGGUUCCGGCCGUUAAAAGCCUUAUUUACCCAAGGUUGACCUCGGAUCAGGUAGGAAGACCCGCUGAACUUAAGCAUAUCAAUAAGCGGAGGA
RNAcentral lists this unclassified non-coding RNA (334 nucleotides) under soil metagenome. Its description in RNAcentral is "partial contains 5.8S ribosomal RNA, internal transcribed spacer 2, and large subunit ribosomal RNA". The stretch from base 1 to 120 matches the Rfam family "5.8S ribosomal RNA", at positions 35 to 154 of the family's 154-position model. The record is from RNAcentral.